This 65-nucleotide ribosomal RNA is filed under the name Ooencyrtus pityocampae. RNAcentral's name for it is "partial 5.8S ribosomal RNA". The record is from RNAcentral. Lineage: Eukaryota; Metazoa; Arthropoda; Insecta; Hymenoptera; Encyrtidae.
UCGACAUUUCGAACGCACAUUGCGGUCCUCGGAUACGAUUCCCGGACCACGUCUGGCUGAGGGUC